CAUUCAUUUGUUUUUGUUUUUGUUGCAUUUGCUUUUGGGUUCUUAGUCAUGAAUUCUUUACCUAAGCCAAUGUCUUGAAGAGUUUUUUUGAUGCUAUCCUCUAGAAUUUUUAUGGUUUCUUAGAUUUAAGUCUUUGAUCCAUCUUGAGUUUUUUUGUAUAAGGUGAGAAAGGAGGAUUCCUGGCAUCCAUGAGGAAUAGCAUUUAUUCCUGGAUCUAAGUUUUGACUAAUUAAUGCUUUUAACAUUUUAAUUAAUGUGUUUAACCUCAAAUGGAUUUAUUGAAACCUUAAAAUACAUGCAAAAAUUAUAUAUGCUAAGAUUUUUUUUCCCUAUUUUUAUGUUACGUCCUCUAGAUUUGAAUUUACGUUAAGUGAAUUCCAAAGUUAGGAAUUGAAAUCAAAUUCCUUUUUUUAGGCUUAUGUUUUUAUUUCCACAGGUCCUGCUCAAUCUGGAAUUUUGUCAGAUCGUGAAGUGGUAAACCUCUUUCUUCAUUUUACUGUUAACCCUAAACCCCGAGUUGAAUACAUUGACCGACCAAGAUGCUGUCUCAGGGGAAAGGAAUGCUGCAUCAAUAGAUUCCAGCAAGUAGAAAGCCGCUGGGGUUACAGUGGGACGAGUGAUCGAAUCAGAUUCACAGUUAAUAGAA
Molecule: small RNA, 646 nt
Filed under: Pan troglodytes (chimpanzee)
Lineage: Eukaryota; Metazoa; Chordata; Mammalia; Primates; Hominidae
Description: retained intron
Source: RNAcentral